RNAcentral lists this long non-coding RNA (246 nucleotides) under Nicotiana benthamiana. Its description in RNAcentral is "long non-coding RNA (NBEN_LNC020850)". The record is from RNAcentral. Lineage: Eukaryota; Viridiplantae; Streptophyta; Magnoliopsida; Solanales; Solanaceae.
GAAAUUGAUGCGAUAAUAAGGUUAAAGAGAGGUAUUAUCGCUCGCAUGGCCCAGUUGGAUCCCAAUCCAUUCUGGACUCAGCAAAAAGAGAGCUUGGUCGCUAACGGAAUCUUAAAUAAAGAUGCAGAGUUUACUAGGAAGACGCUGAUGGAAUACUUUACUAAAUUAGAAACCGAAGAAGGGAAAGAGUCUUGUAUUUAUCAAAAACUUCUCAAAACAAGAGAAAACUUCGCAAGAAAUGGUAAA